RNAcentral lists this transfer RNA (74 nucleotides) under Bacilli bacterium. RNAcentral describes it as "tRNA-Gly". It matches the Rfam family "tRNA". Rfam says of the family: Transfer RNA (tRNA) molecules are approximately 80 nucleotides in length. Their secondary structure includes four short double-helical elements and three loops (D, anti-codon, and T loops). RNAcentral also lists the same sequence under 1 other name. Lineage: Bacteria; Bacillati; Bacillota; Bacilli. The record is from RNAcentral.
GCAUCUGUAGUUCAAUGGUAGAACACUAGCUUCCCAAGCUAGGUACGCGGGUUCGAUUCCCGUCAGGUGCUCCA